GGGGGGGGGGGGGGGGGGGGGUGGGGGGUGGGGGGCGGGCGGGGAGGGGCUGCUUGUGUGGGGGGCUCGAGGGGCGAACGGGUGAGUAACGAGUGAGUCACCUGCCCUUGCCGUUGGUAUAACUUCAGGACCCUGGGGCUGAUACCGGAUAGGAGCUCCAUCUGCCUGGUUUGGCUUGUGACGGUUCGGGGGUUGGUGCUGGACUCGCGGCUUAUCAGCUUGUUGGUGGGGUAGUGGCUUACCAAGGCUUUGACGGGUAGCCGGCCUGAGAGGGUGACCGGCCACAUUGGGACUGAGAUACGGCCCAGCCUCCUACGGGAGGCAGCAGUGGGGAAUAGUGCACAAUGGGCGGAAGCCUGAUGCAGCAACGCCGCGUGCGGGAUGACGGCCUUCGGGUUGUAAACCGCUUUCGCCUGUGACGAAGCGUGAGUGACGGUAAUGGGUAAAGAAGCACCGGCUAACUACGUG
This 468-nucleotide ribosomal RNA is filed under the name uncultured bacterium. Its description in RNAcentral is "partial 16S ribosomal RNA". It matches the Rfam family "Bacterial small subunit ribosomal RNA", at positions 35 to 507 of the family's 1533-position model. The record is from RNAcentral.